GGCUCGAACCUGAUCCUUUCCUCUUCCUCAGCUCCUCACACGACGUGGCGUGGCGUUGCCUCCCCUUCGCUUCACUCCGAUCCCCUAUCGCGGCCAUGACGGGAGCCAAGCAAUCUCGCCGAUGCAACCUCCUGACGUUUUUCUCCACCAUAUUGGCCACCGUUCUGCUUUUGAUCUUCCAGCGAUUCUCGCCGACGGCAGCUGCAGUGCCGCAGUGGAGAAGGGGAGGAACUCAGGAACAUAUCGACGUUGCGCGGGGAGCCGAGGCAGUGGGCCACGGGCAAGGACGAUGCGAAGAUUCUCUCCGAGGCGGAAGCUCGCGCUGGCGGCGGAGGAGAGGGUUUGCUGACGGCGGACGAGGGACGCGAGUUCGCCUCGCUCUACAGCAUGCUGCAGUGGGCAAUUGGUAUAGGCUUGGGACUUUGCGGGUCCUUCCUCAUUUGUUGGGUGAAUUUGCCGACUUGAACCCGAAAUGUUUACAAUUGGUUCAAUUUAUAUAUCGAAAAAUUGCGCCAACAAUGCUUAUAUUAGCCUACAUUGUCAUUGAAGUGGGGGCAAAUUGACUCCAAAACUGCUGAUGCAGGGAACUCUGAUCCGGAUAAGUUGAGAGAAAAGGCUGCAGAAUUGGUGAAACUAUCGGCAGAGGAAUUACUCAAGAGACAGAUGGAGAUUAAGGAGUUGAUGGAGAAGUUCAAGGCGCCAUCAGAUGCUGAGUUGAUAAAGAUUGCUAUUGCUGACUUAAAUAAUUCCUCUCUGGAGGACCGCCAACGUGCACUGCAAGAGCUCUUAAUUCUCGUUGAGCCCAUCGACAAUGCUAAUGGAACUUGGCAAUGCAGACGAAGGAAUAAGAACUACUUCAGCAUGGGUGCUGGGCAAAGCCAGUCAGGACAAUGUUCUUGUUCAAAACCAGAUCAAUGGAUAUGGAGCUUUGGACAGAUUAGUGAAGAUGGGUUAUUCCAGUUCUGGACCAGAAGCUGCAAAGGCAUUGUACACUAUAUCCUCUUUGAUUAGGGACAACGAACAUGGUCAGGAGUUGUUCCUUUCAGAAAAUGGUUAUGCAAUGUUGCAGCACAUAUUGUCAACCACAAACACUAGUGUUCGGCUUCAGAAAAAGGUUGUGUCUUUACUGGCAUAUAUAGCUGACUUUCAGCUAAAUACAGGGAAGUCACAAGCUCAAUCCUUACUCAACCACUUUUUCAUAUAAUCAGUAGUUGAGAUGAUAUCAGCAGUGCCUGACCUUGACCUCCAGGAGAAGGCUUUGUUAGCUGUUAGGAAUCUGCUGCACCUUACGUCAGCUGAUGCUACAGAUCUUCAGAAGUUUUCAGGCCUGGAUGAUUCCCUGAAUGCACUGAAGGUGCAAUUGGAUGAGUUGACAUCUCAUGAGGAACAAAGAGAGUAUGCUCCGGAAAUUGAAAUUCUCCGGAGAGAAGUCCACACUGUCUUCCAGCGGAAAACUGACCAGGCAAGGGUGGUGACAAAUGAAGGCAAAUAUAAUGGUUAGAAACAUUUGCUGUCCAUAUAAGCGUUUGUUCGGUUCUUCCCCAAACCAAGAGGGUUGGGGGAUUUAAUAGUCCCCCCUCAAUUCUCUCCAACCCCUUGGUUUCGGGAGGAAACUAACAAGCUCUAAAGGUGAUCACAUAACAAUUCCUCAACUGAAUGACAAGUUGUCAAUAGAACGAGUUGCAUGGGAUCAUAGAUACUUCACAGAGAUAGGAUGUCACAAAAUGGUGAUUGUCUAUCAAGUUACAGAACGAAGAAGUGCAGUGGAACAGAGUUCUCAUUCUCACUGAUUUCUGCUUCGUGUGAAACUGUUUCAUAGUACACUUGUAGCCCAUUGAAUGUCGAUGUUGUUCAUACGCAAGGACUCAAAGUUGUUACUGGGCCUGAACUAAGGCUACAAUCGCAAUAGCCCUGAUUCAGUUGCUUCCUGUUCAAAUGAAAUGUUGCUCGAGUUCUUUCA
This is an RNA transcript of Zea mays, 1960 nucleotides long. It is a transcript of the gene named hsp70 nucleotide exchange factor FES1, with no coding region annotated. The transcript has 7 exons. Lineage: Eukaryota; Viridiplantae; Streptophyta; Magnoliopsida; Poales; Poaceae. The record is from RefSeq and is a predicted model, not a curated record.